Molecule: ribosomal RNA, 253 nt
Filed under: uncultured prokaryote
Description: partial 16S ribosomal RNA
Rfam family: Bacterial small subunit ribosomal RNA
Source: RNAcentral
ACAGAGGUCCCAAGCGUUGUUCGGAUUCACUGGGCGUAAAGGGCGCGUAGGCGGCUUUUCAAGUGACGGGUGAAAUCCCUCGGCUUAACCGAGGAACUGCCUGUCAGACUGGAAGGCUUGAGACCGGGAGAGGUGAGUGGAAUUCCCAGUGUAGCGGUGAAAUGCGUAGAUAUUGGGAGGAACACCAGUGGCGAAGGCGGCUCACUGGACCGGUACUGACGCUGAGGCGCGAAAGCGUGGGGAGCAAACAGUA